UCCUUUCCCCUAUCCAAGGCAACGAAUCAGCUGCACGACCGCCGAAUCGCCUUGCCAUGACAACCGCAGCGGCAGUGGAGCCGGCGCCGCUCGUGCGGGCCCGCGCGUGCGCGGCCUCCGCUUCCUUCCCGCCCCCGCGCCGUCGAAGAGCUGCUGGAGCUAUCAGGGCAUCUCCCGUACCAGGCCGGACGGAAGCCGCCGCCGAGCUCCCCGCCCCGCUCCAGCCAAACGCGCGGCGGCGGGGACGCGACCCGCUCUGGCACGGCGGCGGGUUCAGCCUCGGCGUCGACCUCGGUGACGCCCGCACCGGCCUCGCCAUCGGGAGGGGGAUCACCUUCCCUCGACCCCUCACUGUUCUGAGGCUCCGCGGGCAGAAGCUAGAGCUUGCGCUGCUCGACGUGGCUCGGCAGCAGGAGGCGGACGAGCUCAUCAUCGGGCUUCCCGUGUCCGCUGAUGGGUCGGAGACACCGCAGUCCAACAAAGUGCGGAGCGUCGUCGGGAGGCUCGCCGUCCAAGCUGCCCAAAGGGGCUUGAGGGUUUAUCUGCAGGAUGAAUAUGGAACGUCCACGGACGCCCUAGAUUACAUGAUCUCCAGGGGUGUCAAGAAGUCUGCUCGUGACACCAAAUCUGAUGCAUAUGCUGCUGUGAUGAUUUUGAAGAGAUAUUUCACGUCUUCAGGUCGAGGGGCUAAGAUUGUUCUCCCCAGGCAACCAGAGUUACAGGACAAGCUAAUGGUUCAGUCUAGACAAGAUGCUGAAGUUUAGAGAGGCAUGUCUUCUAUUUUCUCCAUAGUAGAGAACAUGUCCAGUUGAGGGCACCUCAUUUUCUAUACCAUGUCAUCCGCUGUGAUGUAGAUGAUUGUUUGAGAUAUUGUAAUUGUACUGCAUCAAAAACACAAGCUGUUUUUAAACCUGGUCCUGUUUGCAAAUUGAGUAUCAUCCCAAAACAAAACUCAGUAACAUAUUCAUUGUUGCAUUUCAUGAUUUUUUCCCCUGGGUAUCCUACCUAGAUUACUUCUUUCUGAACUCUAGUGUAACUUAGCUCUGUUAAGCAAAUCUGUGACAUAUUUUACCUUAUAUAGCACUUUAUCAGAUCAUGUAUUUACAUAGUUUACAUCAUGGAGAGUGCAAAAAAGAAUUUGCUCAAAAAUAGUCUGGACAGUCCAAGUGGGCAUGAAAUAAGGUACGUAGUACUUCACAACAAUCCCCUAUCCCGUCUCAUGCAGCAAAUAUGCUUUUUUUCAAUUCAGUACAACUGACCUGUCUUUCCUGGAUCUGCAUCUAUCAUGGUUGCUGCAGGCAAUGUUUAUACAUUACUAUGAGUACACAAUGGAAUGCCUGAGCAAAAACCACCAGCAUCAAUCGAGAAUUAACUGAUCCGGAUCAUCUGUUCAUAUGGUGAUGAAGCAUCCCAAAUCUGUGCGUAAAAGAAUCAGUACAGCUUGCUGAAUUCAGUCUCCUGUGCUGGUUCACCAAUCCGGGGGAAGAAUGAAUCCCUCUCAAGCAUCGUCUGCAGUGAGUCCAUCAUCCUCACCAUGGAUGCCCACAAGAUUGGCGCAGAGCAAAAUGCAUAUCCAAAGACCGCCAGAGCCCUCACAACACCAUCAUGGUACCAUGGGAAUGCCAUAACGAUGAGCAUGCCCACAAUUGCAAGCCACGUUGUAAGCACAUCAAGUGGCGGGAGCAGAAAAACAUUGAUAACGAGCACUGACAAGGCAAGCGCGCCAAAUAGGUAGACGGACCAGCCCAUGAUCGGGUGGACUGUGCGUGGGACCACAAAGAAUGGAAUGGAAUAUGCAGCCACCAUAGCCGCAAUUGCAGCCAGCUUGAUCAGCCACUGCACCAGGGCACUUUGCUUCUCAGGCCGUCGGUUAUAGCACAGUUUGGUGAUCCCUGGCCUUGCCAAUCUGGUGACUGCUAUGAUAACUAUGUACAUCAAAAGCUCCAUCAGAAUCACUGGCAUUUCAGCAGCAUACCUGUGAAAUGUAAGCAGGUAAUUGUUUAGUGGAUAGAACAUAAAAUGAAUUUUCUGUCGGCUCAGGUACACAUAUUUGCUUCUGUGCUGUUUUAUUGACUCACCCAAGAUCGUCCCAGCGCUGCUUGUGCCAGGAAAGACCUAAUGGCAAGACCGGCCAGGACCACCAGUACCAAGGUUUAAACCAAGGUGCGCUGGGGAAUGUGAUGACACUGUUUGGCCCACAGGGGACAUGCCAAUGUAGCUUGAGAUCUGCAGUGUUAAAUCAAAAGGGUGGUUGAAAUUUUCAGAAGCAAUAGCUGCAGGCAGGUGCAUUGGUAUUGAAGCUGUGUAGCUGCAGCACUCACAGUAGUAUGACGCAUCCAUUUGAUAGCCAAGAGGAAGGCGAUAGGUCCCAUUGAGCUUUGUGCCAUUCUCAGGAGGGUGAAACAUUGGUUUGUCGAGCAAGUCUGGGUAGCACCCAACCAAAAAGCCUUGGUCAGCACCAUCAGAGUUUUCACGGCCAGUCUCCAGGUCAUGAAGCAUGCUUCUGAAUACAUCAAUAGAAGGCUGCAGAUUGAAGAAGAGUCCAAUAUUAGUCUGGUUGGCCAUUACAUGUCUGAGCACAACAUAUCUCAGUGUGUGAGUUUAACAAGAAUCAAGUUAUGGAUGGUGGGAAUUUUCUUUUCAAUGGAUCAUUCAUACUGGAAGAAGACGUAUACUUCAGCUUUGGGGGUCACAAGUGGAACAACGAAAGUUCAGUACAUACCUGGAGCACGAAAAGACCGGUGUGGAAGUAGCACGGGUUGAUGAAAACAGCACAGAACUGUCCACAUUGGAAUAGCUCGUCUGUGUUCUGGAGGAAGAUGUUAUCGGAAUCAAUCAUGACGACACGCUCGUAGUCCACCAGGGUCCAGGCAUAAAGCUUGUUCAGUGUCAGCUUGAACCUCUUGUUGGUCCCUCCUAGGUUGCUCUCGUAAGGAUUCCUGAGGUUCUCCACUAUCAACACCCUCAUGCCAUCCUCUUCUGUCCUGCAUACGUCCCCUUGUAUUGUCAAUAGGUGUCUCGUUUCAUUUCGCAUUUUGCAUUCAAAAUUCCUAGUUCGUUGAAACAAGUCUUCGUACGAAAGUAAAACAAGUAAGAAAAAAAAUGUCCCGUUGACCCUUGUGAAACGA
Molecule: RNA transcript, 3128 nt
Organism: Zea mays
Lineage: Eukaryota; Viridiplantae; Streptophyta; Magnoliopsida; Poales; Poaceae
Gene name: holliday junction resolvase
Exons: 7
Source: RefSeq, marked validated